RNAcentral lists this ribosomal RNA (765 nucleotides) under uncultured Streptococcus sp. RNAcentral describes it as "bacterial SSU rRNA". It matches the Rfam family "Bacterial small subunit ribosomal RNA", at positions 28 to 776 of the family's 1533-position model. Lineage: Bacteria; Bacillati; Bacillota; Bacilli; Lactobacillales; Streptococcaceae. The record is from RNAcentral.
GACGAACGCUGGCGGCGUGCCUAAUACAUGCAAGUAGAACGCUGAAGAGAGGAGCUUGCUCUUCUUGGAUGAGUUGCGAACGGGUGAGUAACGCGUAGGUAACCUGCCUUGUAGCGGGGGAUAACUAUUGGAAACGAUAGCUAAUACCGCAUAACAAUGGAUGACCCAUGUCAUUUAUUUGAAAGGGGCAAAUGCUCCACUACAAGAUGGACCUGCGUUGUAUUAGCUAGUAGGUGAGGUAACGGCUCACCUAGGCGACGAUACAUAGCCGACCUGAGAGGGUGAUCGGCCACACUGGGACUGAGACACGGCCCAGACUCCUACGGGAGGCAGCAGUAGGGAAUCUUCGGCAAUGGGGGCAACCCUGGCCGAGCAACGCCGCGUGAGUGAAGAAGGUUUUCGGAUCGUAAAGCUCUGUUGUAAGUCAAGAACGAGUGUGAGAGUGGAAAGUUCACACUGUGACGGUAGCUUACCAGAAAGGGACGGCUAACUACGUGCCAGCAGCCGCGGUAAUACGUAGGUCCCGAGCGUUGUCCGGAUUUAUUGGGCGUAAAGCGAGCGCAGGCGGUUUGAUAAGUCUGAAGUUAAAGGCUGUGGCUCAACCAUAGUUCGCUUUGGAAACUGUCAAACUUGAGUGCAGAAGGGGAGAGUGGAAUUCCAUGUGUAGCGGUGAAAUGCGUAGAUAUAUGGAGGAACACCGGUGGCGAAAGCGGCUCUCUGGUCUGUAACUGACGCUGAGGCUCGAAAGCGUGGGGAGCGAACAGG